RNAcentral lists this ribosomal RNA (460 nucleotides) under uncultured bacterium. Its description in RNAcentral is "partial 16S ribosomal RNA". It matches the Rfam family "Bacterial small subunit ribosomal RNA", at positions 338 to 795 of the family's 1533-position model. The record is from RNAcentral.
GCUACGGGUGGCUGCAGUGAGGAAUAUUGGUCAAUGGACGAGAGUCUGAACCAGCCAAGUAGCGUGAAGGAUGACGGCUCUAUGGGUUGUACACUUCUUUUAUAUGGGAAUAAAGAUAUCCACGUGUGGGUAUUUGUAUGUACCCUAUGAAUAAGAAUCGGCUAACUCCGUGCCAGCAGCCGCGGUAAUACGGAGGAUCCGAGCGUUAUACGGAUUUAUUGGGUUUAAAGGGAGCGUAGGUUGUUUGUUAAGUCAGUUGUGAAAGUUUGCGGCUCAACCGUAAAAUUGCAGUUGAAACUGGCAGUCUUGAGUAUGGUAGAGGUAGGAGGAAUUCGUGGUGGAGCGGUGAAAUGCUUAGAUAUCACGAAGAACUCCGAUUGCGAAGGCAGCUCACUAGACUGCAACUGACACUGAGGCUCGAAAGUGUGGGUAUCAAACAGGAUUAGAUACCCGAGUAGUC